Molecule: long non-coding RNA, 217 nt
Filed under: Amborella trichopoda
Lineage: Eukaryota; Viridiplantae; Streptophyta; Magnoliopsida; Amborellales; Amborellaceae
Description: long non-coding RNA (ATRI_LNC003984)
Source: RNAcentral
CUUCAGAAGAAUUUUCUUCAAACUUAAUGAUACAUCCAAACUAUCAAAUUUCAUAUCAGAUGAUUGUGUUAUGACCUUGUAUACAAUACCCAAAAAUUUAUACACAUCCAAGCUAUAGAAAUUUUUUCGAACUUUAUGUCUCAUUGUAUACAAUCUCCAAAUCGAACUUUGUCACAUUGUAUACGAUUCCCAUUUUUUUUUUUUUGUUGAGAGGAAA